RNAcentral lists this ribosomal RNA (260 nucleotides) under uncultured bacterium. RNAcentral describes it as "partial 16S ribosomal RNA". It matches the Rfam family "Bacterial small subunit ribosomal RNA", at positions 524 to 777 of the family's 1533-position model. The record is from RNAcentral.
UACAGAGGGUGCGAGCGUUGUUCGGAAUUAUUGGGCGUAAAGGGCGCGUAGGCGGUGCCACAAGUCACCUGUGAAAUCUCCGGGCUUAACUCGGAGCCUGCAGGCGAAAACUGUGGUGCUGGAGUGUGGGAGAGGUGCGUGGAAUUCCCGGUGUAGCGGUGAAAUGCGUAGAUAUCGGGGAGGAACACCCUGUGGCGAAAGCGGCGCACUGGACCAUAACUGACGCUGGAUGCGCGAAAAGCUAGGGGGAGCAAACAGGG